UUAACUUACCAGCGUUUUUUGGAUCCUGCUUGUUCGCCUGCCUGUUGUGACCCGUUUUGCCCUUCGACCACCGUCUCCGCCUGUCCCUUGUCUGCCUGCUCGUCUGUCUUCGACCUGGUUCGUCUAUCACACCUGAGAAUUCGCCUGACCCCUGUCUGUUCAUCCGCCUCGGUGCCCUAUCCUGGUUUCGACCCCUGCCUGGACUAUCGUCGGGUUCCCCUCGUGUGCUCCCGACCAGGGCUGUAAAGUGGUUCUCUUGGAAUCCGAAGCCGAGACGGUUCCCCACUACAACCACACUGAAGAAAGAUCCAUUACUUUCCUGUGUGAAUUAUUUACUCUGACUGUAUUCAAUAAAUCCCCUUUAAUUGUAUUUCCGUCUGUGGGUCUUGCAUCUGGGUCCGGUUCUCGUACCAUCAGUCCUAACACUGCAUGGGGAAACACAAAACUUCACUUCAACCACUUUUCAUUCUGCAAAAAAAAAACCAAUCAGAAUCAUUCAUAAUGCUUGAUUUUCGGGUUCACACGAAGGACUUC
This is a long non-coding RNA of Sphaeramia orbicularis (orbiculate cardinalfish), 534 nucleotides long. RefSeq lists it as uncharacterized. The record is from RefSeq and is a predicted model, not a curated record. The transcript is spliced from 2 exons. NCBI's taxonomy places the organism in Eukaryota, Metazoa, Chordata, Actinopteri, Kurtiformes, Apogonidae.